RNAcentral lists this non-coding RNA (26 nucleotides) under Mus musculus (house mouse). The record is from RNAcentral. Lineage: Eukaryota; Metazoa; Chordata; Mammalia; Rodentia; Muridae.
UAGCUGAAUAAAUAGUGAAGUCAAUU